RNAcentral lists this long non-coding RNA (417 nucleotides) under Ananas comosus (pineapple). RNAcentral describes it as "long non-coding RNA (ACOM_LNC008850)". Lineage: Eukaryota; Viridiplantae; Streptophyta; Magnoliopsida; Poales; Bromeliaceae. The record is from RNAcentral.
AACAAGUUGCUAAUAAAUAAUACUAGUUUAGGAUCUGCGUUUCGUGGCGGAUCGAUAGUAUUUCAGUCAAUCAACAUAUAUAAUUAUUAAAAUUAAAAAUUAAAAAUAUAAUAAAAUAUAAAAAAAUUCAUAUAGCCUUCUAUACAUUAUGAAAUUAUUUUUUUUUAUUAAUAUUUUUUAACUUUCAGUAUUUGUAGAUAUAUAAUUAUUAAAAUUAAAAAUUAAAAAUAUAAUAAAAAAUAAAAAAAUUCAUAUAGCCUUCUAUACAUUAUGAAACUAAUCUUUUUUUAUUAAUAUUUUUUAACUUUCAGUAUUUAUAGAGUUAAAGUAUUCUAAUAACUUCACUUAAAAAUUCAAUCAAACUUAGUAGUAUUAGUAGCUAUUCUAUAAAUAAAUUUUUAAUUAAAACGUUAAAAU